CUAUUAUAAAGAGAUGAUAGGGAAUGCCACAAAGAAUUUUGCUGACAUGGUGAUCUUAGAUGAAAUCAUUGAGAAUGGCAAGCUGAAAGGAGAAGAAAGCAAGAAGGCACCCAAAAAGAAAGAGACUGAAGUUCAAGCUGUAGGCUUUGACAGAUAGUUCAGGGGAUAUCAACCCUAUCUAUCUUUAGAUUGCUCUCCAUACUAUCUUACUGUGAAUAAUGCUUCAUCUUAUCCAUACCAAAUAGCCCCCACAACCACCUAAUUCAUCCAUAUAC
This 275-nucleotide long non-coding RNA is filed under the name Durio zibethinus. RNAcentral's name for it is "long non-coding RNA (DZIB_LNC002369)". Lineage: Eukaryota; Viridiplantae; Streptophyta; Magnoliopsida; Malvales; Malvaceae. The record is from RNAcentral.